RNAcentral lists this ribosomal RNA (442 nucleotides) under uncultured bacterium. Its description in RNAcentral is "partial 16S ribosomal RNA". It matches the Rfam family "Bacterial small subunit ribosomal RNA", at positions 338 to 795 of the family's 1533-position model. The record is from RNAcentral.
CCUACGGGUGGCUGCAGUGGGGAAUAUUGGGCAAUGGGCGCAAGCCUGACCCAGCAACGCCGUGUGAAGGAAGAAGGCUUUCGGGUUGUAAACUUCUUGUAAGAGGGAAGAGCAGAAGACGGUACCUCUUGAAUAAGCAACGGCUAACUACGUGCCAGCAGCCGCGGUAAUCAGUAGGUGGCAAGCGUUGUUCGGAUUUACUGGGUGUAAAGGGCGGGUAGCCGGGCUGACAAGUCAGUUGUGAAAUUCCGGGGCUCAACCCCGGACCUGCCUUUGAAACUGUUGGUCUUGAGUAUCGGAGAGGCAAGCGGAAUUCCUAGUGUAGCGGUGACAUGCGUAGAUAUUAGGCGGAACACCAGUGGCGAAGGCGGCCUGCUGGACGACAACUGACGGUGAGGCGCGAAAGCGUGGGGAGCAAACAGGAUUAGAUACCCCAGUAGUC